AUUGAACGCUGGCGGCAGGCCUAACACAUGCAAGUCGAGCGGAUGAAGGGAGCUUGCUCCUGGAUUCAGCGGCGGACGGGUGAGUAAUGCCUAGGAAUCUGCCUGGUAGUGGGGGAUAACGUCCGGAAACGGGCGCUAAUACCGCAUACGUCCUGAGGGAGAAAGUGGGGGAUCUUCGGACCUCACGCUAUCAGAUGAGCCUAGGUCGGAUUAGCUAGUUGGUGGGGUAAAGGCCUACCAAGGCGACGAUCCGUAACUGGUCUGAGAGGAUGAUCAGUCACACGGGAAGUGAGACACGGCCCAGACUCUUACGGGAGGCAGCGGUGGGGAAUAUUGGCGAAUGGGCGAAAGCCUGAUCCAGCCAUGCCGCGUGUGGGAAGAAGGUCUUCGGAUUGUAAAGCACUUUAAGUUGGGAGGAAGGGCAGUAAUUUAAUCCCUGGUUGUUUUGACGUUACCAACAGAAUAAGCACCGGCUAACUUCGUG
This 484-nucleotide ribosomal RNA is filed under the name uncultured bacterium. Its description in RNAcentral is "partial 16S ribosomal RNA". It matches the Rfam family "Bacterial small subunit ribosomal RNA", at positions 30 to 507 of the family's 1533-position model. The record is from RNAcentral.